GCGGCGACUACCUGCAAGUCGAACGGUAGCACAGAGAGCUUGCUCUCGGGUGACGAGUGGCGGACGGGUGAGUAAUGUCUGGGAAACUGCCUGAUGGAGGGGGAUAACUACUGGAAACGGUAGCUAAUACCGCAUAAUGUCGCAAGACCAAAGAGGGGGACCUUCGGGCCUCUUGCCAUCAGAUGUGCCCAGAUGGGAUUAGCUAGUAGGUGGGGUAACGGCUCACCUAGGCGACGAUCCCUAGCUGGUCUGAGAGGAUGACCAGCCACACUGGAACUGAGACACGGUCCAGACUCCUACGGGAGGCAGCAGUGGGGAAUAUUGCACAAUGGGCGCAAGCCUGAUGCAGCCAUGCCGCGUGUAUGAAGAAGGCCUUCGGGUUGUAAAGUACUUUCAGCGGGGAGGAAGGUGUUGUGGUUAAUAACCACAGCAAUUGACGUUACCCGCAGAAGAAGCACCGGCUAACUCCGUGCCAGCAGCCGCGGUAAUACGGAGGGUGCAAGCGUUAAUCGGAAUUACUGGGCGUAAAGCGCACGCAGGCGGUCUGUCAAGUCGGAUGUGAAAUCCCCGGGCUCAACCUGGGAACUGCAUUCGAAACUGGCAGGCUGGAGUCUUGUAGAGGGGGGUAGAAUUCCAGGUGUAGCGGUGAAAUGCGUAGAGAUCUGGAGGAAUACCGGUGGCGAAGGCGGCCCCCUGGACAAAGACUGACGCUCAGGUGCGAAAGCGUGGGGAGCAAACAGGAUUAGAUACCCUGGUAGUCCACGCCGUAAACGAUGUCGAUUUGGAGGUUGUGCCCUUGAGGCGUGGCUUCCGGAGCUAACGCGUUAAAUCGACCGCCUGGGGAGUACGGCCGCAAGGUUAAAACUCAAAUGAAUUGACGGGGGCCCGCACAAGCGGUGGAGCAUGUGGUUUAAUUCGAUGCAACGCGAAGAACCUUACCUGGUCUUGACAUCCACAGAACUUUCCAGAGAUGGAUUGGUGCCUUCGGGAACUGUGAGACAGGUGCUGCAUGGCUGUCGUCAGCUCGUGUUGUGAAAUGUUGGGUUAAGUCCCGCAACGAGCGCAACCCUUAUCCUUUGUUGCCAGCGGUUAGGCCGGGAACUCAAAGGAGACUGCCAGUGAUAAACUGGAGGAAGGUGGGGAUGACGUCAAGUCAUCAUGGCCCUUACGACCAGGGCUACACACGUGCUACAAUGGCGCAUACAAAGAGAAGCGACCUCGCGAGAGCAAGCGGACCUCAUAAAGUGCGUCGUAGUCCGGAUUGGAGUCUGCAACUCGACUCCAUGAAGUCGGAAUCGCUAGUAAUCGUAGAUCAGAAUGCUACGGUGAAUACGUUCCCGGGCCUUGUACACACCGCCCGUCACACCAUGGGAGUGGGUUGCAAAAGAAGUAGGUAGCUUAACCUUCGGGAGGGCGCUACCACUUGAUUCAU
RNAcentral lists this ribosomal RNA (1432 nucleotides) under Enterobacter sp. Its description in RNAcentral is "bacterial SSU rRNA". It matches the Rfam family "Bacterial small subunit ribosomal RNA". Lineage: Bacteria; Pseudomonadati; Pseudomonadota; Gammaproteobacteria; Enterobacterales; Enterobacteriaceae. The record is from RNAcentral.